GAUGAACGCUGGCGGCGUGCCUAAUACAUGCAAGUCGAGCGAACAGAUGAGGAGCUUGCUCCUCUGACGUUAGCGGCGGACGGGUGAGUAACACGUGUAUAACCUACCUAUAAGAGUGGGAUAACUUCGGAAAACCGGAUCUAAUACCGGAUAAUAUAUUGAACCGCAUUGUUCGAUGGUAAAAUACGGUUUUUCUGUCUCGUAUCGAGGCAUCCGCGCCGGAUGAGCUAGUUGGGGAGGUAACGGCUUACCAAGGCUACGAUGCGUAGCCGACCUGUGAGGGUGAUCGGCGACCCUGGAGCUGAGACACGGUCCAGAGUCCUGCGGGAGGCAGCAGUAGGGAAUCGUCCGCAAUGGGCGAAAGCCUGACGGAGCAACGCCGCGUGAGUGAUGAAGGUCUUCGGAUCGUAAAACUCUGUUAUUAGGGAAGAACAGAUGUGUAAGGAGCUAUGCACGUAUUGACGGUACCUAAUCAGAAAGCCACGGCUAACUACGUG
Molecule: ribosomal RNA, 497 nt
Filed under: uncultured bacterium
Lineage: Bacteria
Description: partial 16S ribosomal RNA
Rfam family: Bacterial small subunit ribosomal RNA
Source: RNAcentral